GGUUGUAUAGUGUAGCGAUUAUCACAUCGGAUUCUGACUCUGUCCUCCGGUUUCAGUUCUUCCGGGAACCCCCGUUCGAUUCCGGGUACGACCU
Immersiella caudata is the source of this 94-nucleotide non-coding RNA. NCBI's taxonomy places the organism in Eukaryota, Fungi, Ascomycota, Sordariomycetes, Sordariales, Lasiosphaeriaceae. The record is from the annotation of a GenBank genome assembly.